AUAAUAAUAUGAAAGAACGCAUCCUUUUAUAGUUGCUUGUUUGCAAGCUCAUCACAAGAAUGAGAAAGCAAGACAUGGACUUAUUGGCUCUAUGGGGUUAUCUUAUGGACGAAGCUGCUGCAAAGAAAUAGCAAAGCGUUUCUCUUCACAUUCUUACGCUCGAGGGAGACUCAAAGAUUAUUAGAUUGGUUCAAGGCAAGCAACAUUAGGUAAGCAGCUCACCUCUCUUUCUCUUUUGUGCUUGGUCGUUCAAGACGAGCAACAUUCGGUAAGCAGCACACUUCUCUGCCUCUUUUUUGCUUGAUUUUUUUUCUCCCUUUACAGAGUAGGGGACACCAUCACCCGUAACUAUUUCAACUGUACAAACAUGUUGCUGGGGGUCCGACACCACCGUUCUGCAAGUCAAGAGGACUGACAUCAAGAGAAUAAUUCUACGUGAAAUUUCAGCAGAAAGAAACAGAAAAAGAGAGCACCAACAAUUGGUGAAGAAGGAAAAAAUAGGCACUUGGCAUUUCAUCUCUUUUGAAAAAUACCAAAAAUAAUGUGGCCAUGAUGAGCUCUUACUAGCUUUAUCACUCAUGUAUCUUUUCGUAGAGCAUAUGCAAGACUACCUUGAAGCAAG
This 622-nucleotide long non-coding RNA is filed under the name Eucalyptus grandis. RNAcentral describes it as "long non-coding RNA (EGRA_LNC003528)". The record is from RNAcentral. Lineage: Eukaryota; Viridiplantae; Streptophyta; Magnoliopsida; Myrtales; Myrtaceae.